GACGAACGCUGGCGGCGUGCCUAAUACAUGCAAGUCGAACGAAGCUGUUUUAACCGGUGCUUGCACCGACUUAAACAACUGAGUGGCGAACGGGUGAGUAACACGUGGGUAACCUGCCCCAAAGCGGGGGAUAACAUUUGGAAACAGAUGCUAAUACCGCAUAACCACAGAAACCACAUGGUUUCUGUGUCAAAGAUGGUUUCGGCUAUCACUUUGGGAUGGACCCGCGGCGUAUUAGCUAGUUGGUAAGGUAAUGGCUUACCAAGGCAAUGAUACGUAGCCGAACUGAGAGGUUGAUCGGCCACAUUGGGACUGAGACACGGCCCAAACUCCUACGGGAGGCAGUAGUAGGGAAUCUUCCACAAUGGACGAAAGUCUGAUGGAGCAACGCCGCGUGAGUGAAGAAGGUUUUCGGAUCGUAAAACUCUGUUGUCAGAGAAGAACGUGUGUGAGAGUAACUGUUCGUGCAGUGACGGUAUCUGGCCAGAAAGCCACGGCUAACUACGUGCCAGCAGCCGCCGUAA
This 524-nucleotide ribosomal RNA is filed under the name uncultured bacterium. RNAcentral's name for it is "partial 16S ribosomal RNA". It matches the Rfam family "Bacterial small subunit ribosomal RNA", at positions 28 to 523 of the family's 1533-position model. The record is from RNAcentral.